GAUGAAGAACGCAGCAAAAUGCGAUAAGUAGUGUGAAUUGCAGAAUUCAGUGAAUCAUCGAAUCUUUGAACGCACAUUGCGCCCCAUGGUAUUCCGUGGGGCAUGCCUGUUCGAGCGUCAUUUACCCCCUCAAGCUCCGCUUGGUGUUGGGCGUCUGUCCCGCUUCGCGCGCGGACUCGCCCCAAAGGUAUUGGCAGCGGUCGUGCCAGCUUCUCGCGCAGCACAUUGCGCUUCUCGAGGCACCGGUGGGCCCGCGUCCAUCAAGCUCACCCCCCCAGUUUGACCUCGGAUCAGGUAGGGAUACCCGCUGAACUUAAGCAUAUCAAUAAGCGGAGGA
This 337-nucleotide unclassified non-coding RNA is filed under the name soil metagenome. RNAcentral's name for it is "partial contains 5.8S ribosomal RNA, internal transcribed spacer 2, and large subunit ribosomal RNA". The stretch from base 1 to 120 matches the Rfam family "5.8S ribosomal RNA", at positions 35 to 154 of the family's 154-position model. The record is from RNAcentral.